AUUUUAAAAUAUAAAGCGCAUCAGGAAUCAGCACUAAUAUUUUCUCAGAUAAAUCUCUGCACUGAUUACCAUGAAGUACAUUGAUGUCACUAUCACUAUGACAACAUUAUGACAAGAACUAGUCACUCUCAGCUACCUAGUAAAAGGAAUUGUCAUCUGUAUUUGCGAAUAAAAUGUAACACACAUUAGAAUUUCUAUUUUCCUGCAUAAAUUAUUACCUUAAUGGCUAGGGAGUGCCGAAUCACAAUUGGACGAAGAACCCAUUCCCGUUUAUGUUUCCCUAAAGGUAUUACUGUCUCCCAGAAGAUAUAUAUCUCAUACUGGCUUUGUCAAUGGAACUUCUGAUCAUUCUUUCUAAAGAAUUACAUUCUAAAGGCCUGAAGUCAAAUGAAGAGAUGCCCACCUUCAGAUAUGCCUUCUGCUUAU
This is a long non-coding RNA of Bos indicus x Bos taurus (hybrid cattle), 426 nucleotides long. NCBI's taxonomy places the organism in Eukaryota, Metazoa, Chordata, Mammalia, Artiodactyla, Bovidae. The record is from Ensembl.